GAUAUUUUUAAAAAAAUGAUUUAAAUUAAAAUCAAAUUCACCCCCUGAAAACAGGAUCGCAUACAGGUUACAGCAUUGAAAUCAGAAACUAAAACUAUCAAAUUUCAUUACAAAUUAAACUGCAUUAUCAGCUAAACAUCGAUAAGAAGAGUAGCUGAUAACCAAAUAAACAAAUCUCAUUUCCAACUGAAUUGAAUUGCAGAACUCCAACUGCAUCUAGUCUUAAUCACAUCGUCCCGGAUACCCUACCUAACAAUUUUCCUGAACUCAACCACUUGCAAUCAUUGCCUAUCAUUACUCUUUACGCGCAGUCUUUAGUGAAUCAUCUUUAUCCCUAGCUGAAAAAGGUUAGAAGGAAUAGCAAGAAUGAGCAAUAAUGCUCAGCAAGAAUAUGAUAGGUGGAAGCAACAAGAUAUAUAUAUUUAAGUGAAUCAGAAUGUUGAAGUGAAAGUAAACUCUGGAUUAAACAUGAUGUUGUAAACCAACAGUUCAGUAUAAAAGAGUAAAAUGGUAAACAAUGAUAAAACAGUUCUGCAUCAAUAUAUGAAUUUAAAGCUGUAGAAAUAAAAAUAACUUCCAUUAUCUUUUGAACAUAAGAUAAUCUCCUUUGAAACUAAUCAAUAUUUAAUUGGGUUUAAAUAAGACACCUGGCUAUAACAGAUGAUCAGUCAUGCUAUAGUCCAUAAACCAAGCUUAUUCAGCAAGGUUGACAAAUAUUACGAAUUCCGGUAAUCCGGGCUAAAGGAGCCACCUUUCACGCUGGGCCGAUGUCUGAGCCUCUUACGCAAAACUACCCAAUAUAUUAAAUUUAAAAGCUACAGCUUUAACAUGAUUUGGUAAAUUCAAGAAUUCAAGUGGCUUUUCUUGUUAAACAAAUUUAUUUUGUAGCAAAUCAAAAUAGUUACUACUUUUAGUAGUUUGAAAAUCUUUUAUCAAAAUCAAAGUUUAAAUAGUGAGUCAAAGGUAUUAUCAAUUCAACUGCAGGUAUUCAAUUACUAAACAUGAUUCACAAGAAUGAUGUCACGAUAAAAAUGAAUCAUGUCAUGAAAGAGAGGUCAGGGUCACGAAGAAGAUAAAAAUCGCUUACUCUUAACUAAGGGUAGAAAUACUUGCCUUAACUCCGACGUCUAGUCACGAUUCUAAUAGCACUAUACCGCACAAUCAUAUCUUUCUAAGCAGCUUCUGACAAUACUCUUUCUACGUCUGUCAUCUCAGAUUAUUCUUGCUUCAACUUGCAACACCAUCGGAUUAAUUCUGAACAUUCUCGAUAUACACGUCUUGAUCUAUUCUACACGAUAGUAGGAUAAUAUCUCAGUCAUCGGAUUAAAAGAACUAGCUAAUUCCAAAUAGUAUAGGAACCGCGAACAUCUACCCUUCGCAUAUCCGUAUAUAGUAAACAUGAAUAUAUACAAAUAUCCACAUAACAAUAUAUACACAUACACAUUGGAUCAGUCGGCACAUAACAACGUAGUCAAUCAUAUUUCAGUCCACAUAAAAUAUAUUGCGAUUAACUAUCAAAUAUCAAAUAUUUAUUAUAAAUAAACACCCUUAAUUUCUAACAAAAAUUCGACAGCAUCUCCUCUAUUUAUUGGACUAUCCACCUGUUUGCAAUACCAACAAUCAGCCAAUACUAUUGCUGACACAUGAAUUACUAUUAUAAAAAGAUGUCUUGACUUUCAAUAAACACAUAAGAAAAUCCGCCUUGACUUGCAGUAAACAUGUAAGAAAAAUCUUUUAGCAGGAUUGCUAAUUUGUUAUACCAAAACACAUUUAAUUAGAUAUACAAAGUUAACCAAGUCAAUCAAUUUAAUAAUCAAUUAUAUGCAAUUAAGCAAGUAUAACCUCAUACUAUCCACUAACAAAGAAAGAAAACUACAACAAAUGGUUCAAACAACCCUCACUCUAUGAUUUUUAAUAAAUUGAAAAUUUAUUGUUUUAAUACAAAAAUUUUAUGAGACACUCCUUAACAUUAUUCCAACCUACAGUAAAAGUUUCAGAAAGAAACUCCAAGUAUAAGGCGGUAAAACAGGCCUGCCAAUCAAGCACCAGAAAUUUGUCUUAUAAAACCAGUCCGACGCUAAGAUUUUUAAUAAACAGAAAAAUUGGUCUGUUUGUAUAAAAUUUUAAUGACACAUUCCAGGCACCAACAUCUAACUCCAGUAAAAAUUUCAGAAGUAAAUACCAAGUCAAAGGUAGUAAAACAGGGCUAGGAACAGGACACACCUGCCCAGAAUUUUCUGCGCACUUCACACUAAAACACACAUAUCUCCCAGCUCGUUGAUCGAAUUGAUUCAAUUCUUUCGCGCACAUAAACUAGACUCUAAGUAGCAUAUAAUUACAAAGAAAUUAAGCAUAGCACUCGAAUUUAACAGUCCCAGAACAGAGCUACAAAACAGGACUGUUGCUGCGAAGCAUAACAUUCAAUUGACUAAAUAAUUUGCAAGUUAUACUUCAAAUACUCAAGUUAGCUCAAUCCAAUUAUUCUAGACCUGAACUUACACUUACAAUAUAAACCAAUAUCACUAGUUUACCGAAUUUAGAUAAAACCAAGCUUUAGCAUUAUCAAUUUUUAAUAUUGGAAUUCAAAUUACCCAAAACUCAUAUCCUCAAAUCAAAUAUCAACACCCAUCAAUUUGUAGACUCAAAACACAUAGCAACCAACUCUUAUACUUUAUUUAUAUAUCAAAUUAAUAUUCAUAUCAAACAAAUCUCCCAACUAGCAAUCUGAUCAUAUACACACAAGCCACAUAAAUCAGAUUAUACACACAUAUCAAGUACAUAUACACGGAUAAACACCGUUCCCCCGAAUAUAAUUUCGAUUAUCCGACAUGUAAAUACACGCAUAUAUACACAUACAUGUACCACGUAACUGAUUUAAUGAAUAUAAACAAACUUAUACCAAAUUGAAUUCAAGUAGGUGGAGACCAUUCCUUAAUUGCCGGAAACAUAGCGGCGUUGGGGCGUCAGGACUCAUCGGCCAGAAAAGGAAUCCGAUAGAGCUGCACCUGAUUUGGACAGAAGAGGGAAGUGAUGCGGGAGGUUGAAGAAUGGUGCGGGAGUCUGGAGAAGUCGAGGGGGGAGAGGCGGUGUGAUUAUAAUGGGUUUUAAAAGAGAAAGACAGAGGAAUGGUGUACGUGGCUUAAGAGAAUGAAAGAGUACAUACGUGUUAUACCCCAAAAGAAGCCAUGUACCAAGUCACCAAUUAACCUAUACCCGCUUUUAACUAAUUUACGGAGAUAACUUAUUAGUAAAACUUCUCCCAAAAAUUACCGAAAUAUUUUUAUAAAUCCUAGAAUAUUAGAAAACCAGUAAAUAAAAUUUUUGGGACUUAUAGAGCAUUUUAUAAAUUUAUACAAAAUUUAGAAUUUAGCUGCUUCCAGAAACUAAUUAAAAUUCAUGUCCUUGUAGAAAUAAGAUUUUUUUUAAUAUUUUAAAAACUCCUAAAAAUAUUUAUGAUCACUAUCGAGCAAUUAAAACAAUUUAUCAAAUUAUCUUUAUAUUUUUACAAAUAUAAAUAUUCAUUUAGGCGGGUAAUAAAUUUAAUAUAAUAAUAUCAAACGCAGAAAUAAAUGCACACACAAAUAUAAUCGUACACAAAUAAAUCAAUUAAAUCUCGUAACAGAUAAUUGCACGAUCGGCAGAUAUUUUUCCCAUAACCCCAAUGACUAGGAAAAUAAUUUAAACAAUAUUUUUGAAAAUUAUCAAACUAGAAUAAAAUAUUGAAUUUCAUUCCUCAUUUUCCUCGAAUAAUCCUGAAUAAGAAUAAUAAAAUAAUUUGUGAAAAUUCGGGUCGUCAC
Molecule: long non-coding RNA, 3797 nt
Filed under: Daucus carota (carrot)
Lineage: Eukaryota; Viridiplantae; Streptophyta; Magnoliopsida; Apiales; Apiaceae
Description: long non-coding RNA (DCAR_LNC001838)
Source: RNAcentral